Molecule: ribosomal RNA, 324 nt
Filed under: uncultured eukaryote
Lineage: Eukaryota
Description: partial 18S ribosomal RNA
Rfam family: Eukaryotic small subunit ribosomal RNA
Source: RNAcentral
CCCUUAGAUGUUCUGGGCUGCACGCGCGCUACACUGAAGCUAUCAACACGUUUUCCCUCCCUGAGAAGGGCGGGUAACCUUUUGAAUCAGCUUCGUGGUAGGGAUCGGGGCUCGCAAUUGUUCCCCGUGAACCAGGAAUUCCUAGUAGACGCGAGUCAUAAGCUCACAUCGAUUAAGUCCCUGCCCUUUGUACACACCGCCCGUCGCUACUACCGAUUGAACGUUUUAGUGAGGCAUUUGGACCGACGCAUCUCAGUUUAACCGCUGGUUUGUGUUGGAAAGACUUCCAAACUUGAGCGUUUAGAGGAAGUAAAAGUCGUAACA